ACUCCUACGGGAGGCAGCAGUGGGGAAUAUUGCACAAUGGGCGCAAGCCUGAUGCAGCCAUGCCGCGUGUAUGAAGAAGGCCUUCGGGUUGUAAAGUACUUUCAGCAGUGAGGAAGGUGGGUAUGUUAAUAGCAUAUUCAUUUGACGUUAGCUGCAGAAGAAGCACCGGCUAACUCCGUGCCAGCAGCCGCGGUAAUACGGAGGGUGCGAGCGUUAAUCGGAAUUACUGGGGCGUAAAGCGCAUGCAGGUGGUUUGUUAAGUCAGAUGUGAAAGCCCGGGGCUCAACCUCGGAAUUGCAUUUGAAACUGGCAAACUAGAGUACUGUAGAGGGGGUAGAAUUUCAGGUGUAGCGGUGAAAUGCGUAGAGAUCUGAAGGAAUACCGGUGGCGAAGGCGGCCCCCUGGACAGAUACUGACACUCAGAUGCGAAAGCGUGGGGAGCAAACAGGAUUAGAU
RNAcentral lists this ribosomal RNA (456 nucleotides) under uncultured bacterium. Its description in RNAcentral is "bacterial SSU rRNA". It matches the Rfam family "Bacterial small subunit ribosomal RNA", at positions 335 to 783 of the family's 1533-position model. The record is from RNAcentral.